This 433-nucleotide ribosomal RNA is filed under the name uncultured bacterium. RNAcentral describes it as "partial 16S ribosomal RNA". It matches the Rfam family "Bacterial small subunit ribosomal RNA", at positions 29 to 507 of the family's 1533-position model. The record is from RNAcentral.
AGCGAACGCUGGCGGCAGGCCUAACUCAUGCAAGUCGAACGAACUCUUCGGAGUUAGUGGCGGACGGGUGAGUAACACGUGGGAACGUGCCUUUUGGUUCGGAAUAACUCAGGGAAACUUGUGCUAAUACCGAAUGUGCCCUUCGGGGGAAAGAUUUAUCGCCAUUAGAGCGGCCCGCGUCUGAUUAGCUAGUUGGUGAGGUAACGGCUCACCAAGGCGACGAUCAGUAGCUGGUCUGAGAGGAUGACCAGCCACACUGGGACUGAGACACGGCCCAGACUCCUACGGGAGGCAGCAGUGGGGAAUCUUGCGCAAUGGGCGAAAGCCUGACGCAGCCAUGCCGCGUGAAUGAUGAAGGUCUUAGGAUUGUAAAAUUCUUUCACCGGGGACGAUAAUGACGGUACCCGGAGAAGAAGCCCCGGCUAACUUCGUG